RNAcentral lists this ribosomal RNA (253 nucleotides) under uncultured bacterium. Its description in RNAcentral is "partial 16S ribosomal RNA". It matches the Rfam family "Bacterial small subunit ribosomal RNA", at positions 524 to 776 of the family's 1533-position model. The record is from RNAcentral.
UACGUAGGGGGCAAGCGUUGUCCGGAAUUAUUGGGCGCAAAGAGCGUGUAGGCGGUCCGGUAAGUCAGCUGUGAAAGUCAAGGGCUCAACCCUUGAAUGCCGGUUGAUACUGUCGGGCUAGAGUCCGGAAGAGGCGAGUGGAAUUCCCGGUGUAGCGGUGAAAUGCGCAGAUAUCGGGAGGAACACCAAUGGCGAAGGCAGCUCGCUGGGACGGUACUGACGCUGAGACGCGAAAGCGUGGGGAGCAAACAGG